GGGCGAUGAGGCCAGCCUGGGAGUGGUGGUGGAGAGCCCCCCUGAGCAGGACAGCAGCACAGAGGGCAGGAAGCCAAGCCAAGAGGCUGGGAGGGAUGAUCCCUGCUGAUGGCGUCGAGCACCCAGGCUGACAGCUGGAUGAGAAUGGAGACCCCUGCCUGCUUCUCCUGCUGCACUGUGCCCGGUGUCCAGAGCCGGCCCACCAGCCACAGGGCCUCAGUGAUGUGCACUGGGCCAGUGAACACUGCAGACCACACAGGAGCAUACUUCCAGGAGUGCUAAGCGCCGUCAGUUCCUUCACUGUCCAUGGAGCCCAGCUCUGUGCCCGGCCCUGACUUACACUGUAGGCAUGACAGCCGUGAAGGAGACAAACUCUGCCGCCCCCUGGAGCCGACGUCACAGAGGGGCAAACAGUGAGCAGAGCACAGCAGCCCACUGUGCACGUGCAGCCAGAGGCGUCUUCUCCAAUGGAGGCCGAGCACGUCUCCUCCUGCUCAUGAUCCCCUGCUCCUUAGAACCUGACCCAGGGCCCUUGUUGUGGAACUGAGCUUGGACUAACGAGGGAGCUGAGAGGCAGCUGCUGGCCAGCCAGCCAGGGCCCAAGCUGUCAGAAGAGAAGGAGAAAGCCUCAUUAGCAGAACAUGUCACUAUCGGAGCUGACUGCUUUCCAGGCCUGAGCUGGGGGAUGUCUAAGUUUGGAGAUGCAGAGCACAGUGCACCAUGGGAGCGGUCCCAGAAACAAGGGGUGCUGGUCCACCCCACUCCCCAGUCUCGCACCUGCCUCUGUCUUGUAUGUGCCUGCCACUGCAGCCUCCUGUCUGGAAUGCCUCCUCUGAUUCCUGUGGGCAGAGCCACGCAUCAGGCCCCGCUAGAUGGCCACCUCGGUUUAGAUGCUGUUCCGAUGCUGCCAGCAGGGGGUGAGCGUGUGCUGUGCUGGGCACGUCCUGCCUCUGCCCCUGGAACAGGGGACUGUCCUCUAGUUGGGUCCCCGUCUUCUCUUCCCAGCUGGGCCGUGCUCUUCCAGUGGGAUCUAUGCCUGAUUCACCUCGGGUAGCGCGAUGGAGUCUGGCCAGGUGCCCGGCAUGUGGGCUUCACAGAGGGCCCUGCUCUCCGUGGGUGAAGGAAAAUCUUCUCUGCCCGCUCAGAUGCUGGGACCGUCCCAGGGCCGUCUCGUGAGCAGGUGGAAAGACUCUGCAUGCAGUGUCACCGGCCUUGCAAGCAGCAGCCAGCGGCCUCCUGGACAUCCUCAGGCUUCUGAGGAGCCCCUGCGGAAGCUCCCUGACACACGACCCUCCCUCUGGACCCCAAGAUGUCUGGCUUCCUGUGGAGCUCCCUUAGACAUGGAGCUGGGUGAGCAGCCCAGACCUCGGUCAGCACUCCCAGGGGGAUCGCUCUGCGCCACUGUCAUAAAAGGGAGAUGUCGUCCCAGUGGACAGGCCCAACUCCUGCAUUACAGUCAGAAAACUCAGCAUCACGUGGAAAUGACCCGAGGCUGCUUUGAGGGCCCAAACCCGUGCCGCAGUCCAGGCUCUGAGGUUUCACCUCAGUGGGGCUGAAAUGCAGACCUGCAGUGAGGGUGGCCUCUCCUUGUGAGCCCUGGCGCCUCCAGGUCAUCCUCUAGGUUCACUGAGCAUUUGGACACGAUGCUUCUUAGGCCACGGAGGUGCCAGCUCCCUUCUGAAUUGAAUCCAUGCAGAGUGCCACUCUGGUUGGCACAGCUCUGUGGGGCACUGGACUGAGGCCUCUCGCCCACACGUCACCGCCCAUCCAUGUGUCCUCCUUGCACGGCCCCCACUCACAGCGGUAGGCACCACCCUGGGCCAAACCCCCACACUGCUGGCUGGCUCCGGAUUCCGCGUCUCACCUCCACGUAAAAUGCAGGGGGGCAGCUCCACCUCUCGCUCUGGGAUGGGACCUGCCGGGACCUUACACGGGCUGUACCCUGUUCCGCUUGCCAGGCCGGGUCCUGCUGGGCAGGCAGCAGCACAGGCCUCGGAG
Molecule: long non-coding RNA, 1998 nt
Filed under: Equus asinus (donkey)
Lineage: Eukaryota; Metazoa; Chordata; Mammalia; Perissodactyla; Equidae
Description: lncRNA (ENSEASG00005026148.1)
Source: RNAcentral